Molecule: long non-coding RNA, 1389 nt
Organism: Brassica oleracea var. oleracea
Lineage: Eukaryota; Viridiplantae; Streptophyta; Magnoliopsida; Brassicales; Brassicaceae
Exons: 3
Source: RefSeq, a predicted model, not a curated record
UUCUUCCCCAAAUCAACCUAGCCAUCUCCGCUUCUUCAUGUUUUUUCUCUCAUCUCUUUACCUUCCAUGCCGUUCAAUGUAUUUCUUUUAAUUCGACAAUAAUUGUUUUUCACAUUAAACCCAGUAAAGAUGUCGACCUUUCUGCUUCCUUCACGCCAAAUGUAUAAAUAUGAGAGGGUUGAGAGUAUGAUGAUCCUCAGAACCACAGUCAGAUUAUUUUCUUUAUCAAGCGUAGAAAGAGUCUCAAAAAUGUCUUCCUCCGAUGAGGAGGAUUCGGUGAUACAUGGAUUCAUAUUCUCUCAUCAUCAACCUCUAAAAAUUCAUGCUGCGGAAGUUUGACUAUCUCCAAGCUCUAGCAAACCUUAAUUUAGAACUCCCUGGUUUGUUCUUCAAAUAUGUUUGGUAAUUUAUUGUUUAAGUAAUUAUAUAUGAUUUGGUAAUUAAAUUGGCUUCAAAGAUUUGAUUUCUGAAUCAAAUUUUUAUUUCAGAACGUUACAUAUGCAUCUUUUGAAUUAGUAUGUUUGAUUUCCUCGGUCCAUUAUAUUUGAGUCAAAUGUGAUUCAAUACAACUGUGAGAGUUGUGAAGCAUGGAAAUAAUCUGAGUGAGAAGGUAAGUUUUUCCCCCGUUUGCUGUCACAUAAAUGAUGUGCACUUAAACAUGAGUCUACUUAAAUAUUCCUUUAUUUUAAUUCAUUUUAAACAGAUAAUAAAUUAUGUAAAGAAUGGAAAGAAUGUUUCAAGCUGUUAUGGUUUUGUAGAAUUAGACUCUACAGAGAUGUACAAGUAUAUAAUAGUUUUGUGACAUUGUCUCUUUGAAACUUCGAGUUGAUUGAAUUUGAUGAAGUACAGGGACACAUUUUUUUCAAUCUCAGGGAAUAUUGUGGGGCAUGCUUUCAAGUUGAGGUUUUCUGAAACACGCGAAGGGACACGGUUCGGAAAGUUUGAGAUAAUUUUCCAACAAAGUAACAUGUGCAAGUUGUAGCUGUUGAGUGUUGAGGCAACCAGAAAGAGCUAAGACAGCUUUUCAGCACAUUUAAUAGAGCUUCCACAGAGGAAUAUCAGACAGUACUCAGGUUGCAGCUUUGUUGAUUCCAUGGCAAGCAAGAGACUUCAAACGCGAAAAAGCGUGGUCGAGCACUUUUUCCCUCUUAAAUGUCUUCAUUUGGAUGCAUUAUCGACUCUUUAUUUACUGUCAAAGGUGAAUGAGUGAGCCAAAGAUGGCAAUAACAUGGAAAGGAAGAGUCAUCGUUCAACUGGUAACUAUCAUGAAAUGAACUUACAAAGAGAAGAACAUCUACAGAAUAACCACAUCCCCUCUGUUAAAAAGUUGUGUUGACCAUAAUUCGAUAAGUUACCACUAUGAUUGAUAAUUCUCCAUUAUUUACUCUG